GAUGAAGAACGCAGCGAAAUGCGAUAAUUAAUGUGAAUUGCAGAAUUUAGUGAAUCAUCGAAUCUUUGAACGCACAUUGCGCCCGCGAGUAUUCUCGCGGGCAUGCCUGUCCGAGCGUCAUUUCAACCCUCAGGGCCCGCCUGCUUGCAGGCGCGGCGCUGGUGUUGGGGAUCGGCUACCCUGCCGUCCCCCAAAUACAGUGGCGGUCUCGCUGCAGCCUCCCCUGCGUAGUAGCAACACUCGCAUGCGGAGCGCGGCGCGGCCACGCCGUAAAACCCCCGACUUUCUGAACGUUGACCUCGGAUCAGGUAGGAAUACCCGCUGAACUUAAGCAUAUCAAUAAGCGGAGGA
Molecule: unclassified non-coding RNA, 351 nt
Filed under: soil metagenome
Description: partial contains 5.8S ribosomal RNA, internal transcribed spacer 2, and large subunit ribosomal RNA
Rfam family: 5.8S ribosomal RNA (bases 1-120)
Source: RNAcentral